GGUGUAGGCGGAGCGGUAAGUACCUUGUGAAAGCCCCGGGCUCAACCCGGGAAUUGCUUGGUAUACUGUCGCUCUUGAGGCAGAUAGGGGUCACUGGAACCUUAGGUGGAGCGGUGAAAUGCGUAGAUAUCUAAGGGAACGCCUGUGGCGAAAGCGGGUGACUGGAUCUGUUCUGACGCUGAGACCCGAAAGCGUAGGGAGCGAACG
RNAcentral lists this ribosomal RNA (207 nucleotides) under uncultured bacterium. RNAcentral's name for it is "partial 16S ribosomal RNA". It matches the Rfam family "Bacterial small subunit ribosomal RNA", at positions 568 to 774 of the family's 1533-position model. The record is from RNAcentral.